This is a long non-coding RNA of Quercus robur (English oak), 596 nucleotides long. RefSeq lists it as uncharacterized. The transcript is spliced from 3 exons. The record is from RefSeq and is a predicted model, not a curated record. Lineage: Eukaryota; Viridiplantae; Streptophyta; Magnoliopsida; Fagales; Fagaceae.
GCGGCAAUUAAAAUAAUAAAUAAAAAGGAUGAAGAUGUUUUAUGGGCUUCUUGGAGACUAAAGAGAUAAGCUCAAGAGGAUUUUAAAGUCCAGCCCAUUAUUCCACCAAGCCCACAUCAGAUUAAAAUAUAAAGUGGAGGAAAAGGUAAAUUAGGGUUUCAUCACUAAGGAGGCUAAGAAGUGUUUCUUUUCUUGGAGUUUAGAGCACAUACGAUUGAAGAGGCAAAAUUGUUUAGGGGCAUAAGAUGUGGGCUACGAAAUCAAGGUCUUAUUUAAGAGUUUUUUGAGGCCUUUGGAGGUUGUUUCGGCUGGACUUUCAGAGGGAUUCAAGUGCUAUUAAAGUUUAGUUGGGUAACAGAACCUUUGGAUUGCUUCGUAAGGUGCAAGGUAGAGCGUGGGAGUUUUAGGCGAAGUCAAUAAUACUGGAAGUCUUAAAAGAUUAUUAGUUAUAUAUAUAUAUAUAUAUAUAUAUAUAUUUUUUUUUGUUAUUCCGCUUUAGAUUUCACUGUAUUUUGGAGAUUAUUCUAAAUUUGUGGAGUUUGGAUUUUGUAAGAGGUUUUAUUUAAGAGUAUUGUUUCUUUGGAGUUUUUAAUUUA